Molecule: ribosomal RNA, 460 nt
Filed under: uncultured bacterium
Lineage: Bacteria
Description: partial 16S ribosomal RNA
Rfam family: Bacterial small subunit ribosomal RNA
Source: RNAcentral
CCUACGGGAGGCUGCAGUGAGGAAUAUUGGUCAAUGGACGAGAGUCUGAACCAGCCAAGUAGCGUGAAGGAUGACUGCCCUAUGGUUUGUAAACUUCUUUUAUAUGGGAAUAAAAUGUUCCACGUGUGGGAUUUUGUAUGUACCAUAUGAAUAAGGAUCGGCUAACUCCGUGCCAGCAGCCGCGGUAAUACUGAGGAUCCGAGCGUUAUCCGGAUUUAUUGGGUUUAAAGGGAGCGUAGGUGGAUUGUUAAGUCAGUUGUGAAAGUUUGCGGAUCAACCGUAAAAUUGCAGUUGAAACUGGCAGUCUUGAGUACAGUAGAGGUGGGCGGAAUUCGCGGUGUAGCGGUGAAAUGCUUAGAUAACACGAAGAACUACGAGUGCGAAGGCAGCUCACUGGACUGCAACCGAAACCGAGGCUCGAAAGUGUGGGUAUCCAACAGGAAUAGAUACCCGAGUAGUC